GAUGAAGAACGCAGCGAAAUGCGAUAAGUUAUGUGAAUUGCAGAAUUCAGUGAAUCAUCGAAUCUUUGAACGCACAUUGCGCCCGUCAGUAUUCUGGCGGGCAUGCCUGUUCGAGCGUCAUUACGCCCCUCAAGUCCCCUGUGGACUUGGUGUUGGGGAUCGGCGAGGCUGGUUUUCCAGCACAGCCGUCCCUUAAAUUAAUUGGCGGUCUCGCCGUGGCCCUCCUCUGCGCAGUAGUAAAACACUCGCAACAGGAGCCCGGCGCGGUCCACUGCCGUAAAACCCCCCAACUUUUUAUAGUUGACCUCGAAUCAGGUAGGACUACCCGCUGAACUUAAGCAUAUCAAUAAGCGGAGGA
This 358-nucleotide unclassified non-coding RNA is filed under the name soil metagenome. Its description in RNAcentral is "partial contains 5.8S ribosomal RNA, internal transcribed spacer 2, and large subunit ribosomal RNA". The stretch from base 1 to 120 matches the Rfam family "5.8S ribosomal RNA", at positions 35 to 154 of the family's 154-position model. The record is from RNAcentral.